This 94-nucleotide small RNA is filed under the name Mytilus galloprovincialis (Mediterranean mussel). Lineage: Eukaryota; Metazoa; Mollusca; Bivalvia; Mytilida; Mytilidae. The record is from RNAcentral.
UUUUUAUAUAAUAUAAUAUAUAUAUAUAUAUACGUCUGAGUCGGUUGAAAACUCUGUUGUAGAGUUGUCACUGACUCAGACGUACUUAUAAAUU